GACGAACGCUGGCGGCGUGCUUAACACAUGCAAGUCGAACGGUGAAAGCGGAGCUUGCUCCGCUGGAUCAGUGGCGAACGGGUGAGUAACACGUGGGCAACCUGCCCCAGACUUCGGGAUAACUCCUCGAAAGAGGUGCUAAUACCGGAUACGAAGCCCCCAGGCAUCUGGGGGCUUGGACAGUUUUUCGGUCUGGGAUGGGCCCGCGGCCUAUCAGCUUGUUGGUGAGGUAACGGCUCACCAAGGCGACGACGGGUAGCCGGCCUGAGAGGGCGACCGGCCACACUGGGACUGAGACACGGCCCAGACUCCUACGGGAGGCAGCAGUGGGGAAUAUUGCGCAAUGGGCGAAAGCCUGACGCAACAACGCCGCGUGAGGGAUGACGGCCUUCGGGUUGUAAACCUCUUUCAGCAGGGAAGAAGCGAAAGUGACGGUACCUGCAGAAGAAGCACCGGCUAACUACGUGCCAGCAGCCGCCGUAA
RNAcentral lists this ribosomal RNA (483 nucleotides) under uncultured bacterium. RNAcentral's name for it is "partial 16S ribosomal RNA". It matches the Rfam family "Bacterial small subunit ribosomal RNA", at positions 28 to 523 of the family's 1533-position model. The record is from RNAcentral.